UACGAGUGCUUCAAGCGUUAUCCGGAAUCAUUGGGCGUAAAGGGUGUGUAGGUGGUUGUAUUAGUCUCGCGUUAAAUCUUCCGGCUCAACCGGGAGGCUGCGUGGGAAACGGUACGACUUGAGGACGGCAGAGGUUUCUGGAACUCAUGGUGUAGCGGUGAAAUGCGCAGAUAUCAGGAGGAACACCGGUGGCGAAGGCGGGUCUCUGGGCAGUAACUGACGCUGAGGAGCGAAAGCGUGGGGAGCGAACAGG
Molecule: ribosomal RNA, 253 nt
Filed under: uncultured bacterium
Lineage: Bacteria
Description: partial 16S ribosomal RNA
Rfam family: Bacterial small subunit ribosomal RNA
Source: RNAcentral